UUAAUACCGGAUAUUCACUUUUUCCUGCAUGGGAUGGGGUGGAAAGUUUUUCGGCUGGGGAGGGGCUCGCGGUCUAUCAGCUUGUUGGCGGGGUAACGGCCCACCAAGGCGACGACGGAUAGCCGGCCUGAGAGGGCGAUCGGCCACACUGGGACUGAGACACGGCCCAGACUCCUACGGGAGGCAGCAGUGGGGAAUAUUGCACAAUGGGCGGAAGCCUGAUGCAGCGACGCCGCGUGGGGGAUGAAGGCCUUCGGGUUGUAAACCCCUUUCACCAGGAGCGAAUUCAGACGGUACCUGGGGAAGAAGCGCCGGCUAACUACG
RNAcentral lists this ribosomal RNA (324 nucleotides) under uncultured Actinomycetes bacterium. Its description in RNAcentral is "bacterial SSU rRNA". It matches the Rfam family "Bacterial small subunit ribosomal RNA", at positions 163 to 505 of the family's 1533-position model. The record is from RNAcentral. Lineage: Bacteria; Bacillati; Actinomycetota; Actinomycetes.